UACGGAGGGUGCAAGCGUUAAUCGGAAUUACUGGGCGUAAAGCGUGCGUAGGCGGUUGAUUAAGUCCGCUGUGAAAGCCCUGGGCUCAACCUGGGAACUGCAGUGGAUACUGGUCGGCUAGAGUGUGGUAGAGGGUAGUGGAAUUUCCGGUGUAGCAGUGAAAUGCGUAGAGAUCGGAAGGAACACCAGUGGCGAAGGCGACUAUCUGGACCAACACUGACGCUGAGGUACGAAAGCGUGGGGAGCAAACAGG
This 253-nucleotide ribosomal RNA is filed under the name uncultured bacterium. Its description in RNAcentral is "partial 16S ribosomal RNA". It matches the Rfam family "Bacterial small subunit ribosomal RNA", at positions 524 to 776 of the family's 1533-position model. The record is from RNAcentral.